GUGCCAGCAGCUGCGGUAAUACGUAGGGCGCAAGCGUUGUCCGGAAUUAUUGGGCGUAAAGAGCUCGUAGGCGGUUUGUCGCGCCUGCUGUGAAAACCCGAGGCUCAACCUCGGGCCUGCAGUGGGUACGGGCAGACUAGAGUGCGGUAGGGGAGACUGGAACUCCUGGUGUAGCGGUGGAAUGCGCAGAUAUCAGGAAGAACACCGAUGGCGAAGGCAGGUCUCUGGGCCGUAACUGACGCUGAGGAGCGAAAGCAUGGGGAGCGAACAGGAUUAGGAUACCCUGGUAGUCCAUGCCGUAAACGUUGACGCUAGAUGUGGGCCUUUCCACGGUUUCCGCGUCGUAGCCUACGC
Molecule: ribosomal RNA, 354 nt
Filed under: uncultured Pseudoclavibacter sp.
Lineage: Bacteria; Bacillati; Actinomycetota; Actinomycetes; Micrococcales; Microbacteriaceae
Description: bacterial SSU rRNA
Rfam family: Bacterial small subunit ribosomal RNA
Source: RNAcentral